AAAUUGAAGAGUUUGAUCAUGGCUCAGAUUGAACGCUGGCGGCAGGCCUAACACAUGCAAGUCGAACGGUAACAGGAAGCAGCUUGCUGCUUUGCUGACGAGUGGCGGACGGGUGAGUAAUGUCUGGGAAACUGCCUGAUGGAGGGGGAUAACUACUGGAAACGGUAGCUAAUACCGCAUAAUGUCGCAAGACCAAAGAGGGGGACCUUCGGGCCUCUUGCCAUCGGAUGUGCCCAGAUGGGAUUAGCUAGUAGGUGGGGUAAAGGCUCACCUAGGCGACGAUCCCUAGCUGGUCUGAGAGGAUGACCAGCCACACUGGAACUGAGACACGGUCCAGACUCCUACGGGAGGCAGCAGUGGGGAAUAUUGCACAAUGGGCGCAAGCCUGAUGCAGCCAUGCCGCGUGUAUGAAGAAGGCCUUCGGGUUGUAAAGUACUUUCAGCGGGGAGGAAGGGAGUAAAGUUAAUACCUUUGCUCAUUGACGUUACCCGCAGAAGAAGCACCGGCUAACUCCGUGCCAGCAGCCGCGGUAAUACGGAGGGUGCAAGCGUUAAUCGGAAUUACUGGGCGUAAAGCGCACGCAGGCGGUUUGUUAAGUCAGAUGUGAAAUCCCCGGGCUCAACCUGGGAACUGCAUCUGAUACUGGCAAGCUUGAGUCUCGUAGAGGGGGGUAGAAUUCCAGGUGUAGCGGUGAAAUGCGUAGAGAUCUGGAGGAAUACCGGUGGCGAAGGCGGCCCCCUGGACGAAGACUGACGCUCAGGUGCGAAAGCGUGGGGAGCAAACAGGAUUAGAUACCCUGGUAGUCCACGCCGUAAACGAUGUCGACUUGGAGGUUGUGCCCUUGAGGCGUGGCUUCCGGAGCUAACGCGUUAAGUCGACCGCCUGGGGAGUACGGCCGCAAGGUUAAAACUCAAAUGAAUUGACGGGGGCCCGCACAAGCGGUGGAGCAUGUGGUUUAAUUCGAUGCAACGCGAAGAACCUUACCUGGUCUUGACAUCCACGGAAGUUUUCAGAGAUGAGAAUGUGCCUUCGGGAACCGUGAGACAGGUGCUGCAUGGCUGUCGUCAGCUCGUGUUGUGAAAUGUUGGGUUAAGUCCCGCAACGAGCGCAACCCUUAUCCUUUGUUGCCAGCGGUCCGGCCGGGAACUCAAAGGAGACUGCCAGUGAUAAACUGGAGGAAGGUGGGGAUGACGUCAAGUCAUCAUGGCCCUUACGACCAGGGCUACACACGUGCUACAAUGGCGCAUACAAAGAGAAGCGAUCUCGCGAGAGCAAGCGGACCUCAUAAAGUGCGUCGUAGUCCGGAUUGGAGUCUGCAACUCGACUCCAUGAAGUCGGAAUCGCUAGUAAUCGUGGAUCAGAAUGCCACGGUGAAUACGUUCCCGGGCCUUGUACACACCGCCCGUCACACCAUGGGAGUGGGUUGCAAAAGAAGUAGGUAGCUUAACCUUCGGGAGGGCGCUUACCACUUUGUGAUUCAUGACUGGGGUGAAGUCGUAACAAGGUAACCGUAGGGGAACCUGCGGUUGGAUCACCUCCUUA
RNAcentral lists this ribosomal RNA (1542 nucleotides) under Escherichia coli. RNAcentral's name for it is "bacterial SSU rRNA". It matches the Rfam family "Bacterial small subunit ribosomal RNA". Lineage: Bacteria; Pseudomonadati; Pseudomonadota; Gammaproteobacteria; Enterobacterales; Enterobacteriaceae. The record is from RNAcentral.